This 484-nucleotide ribosomal RNA is filed under the name uncultured bacterium. Its description in RNAcentral is "partial 16S ribosomal RNA". It matches the Rfam family "Bacterial small subunit ribosomal RNA", at positions 30 to 507 of the family's 1533-position model. The record is from RNAcentral.
AGUGAACGCUGGCGGCAGGCCUAACACAUGCAAGUCGAGCGGCAGCGCGGGGGCAACCCUGGCGGCGAGCGGCGGACGGGUGAGGAAUUCGUCGGAAUCUGCCUUCCUGUGGGGGAUAACGUAGGGAAACUUACGCUAAUACCGCAUACGUCCUACGGGAGAAAGUGGGGGACCGCAAGGCCUCACGCAGAAAGAUGAGCCGACGACCGAUUAGCUAGUUGGUGGGGUAAAGGCCCACCAAGGCGACGAUCGGUAGCUGGUCUGAGAGGAGGGUCAGCCACACUGGAACUGAGACAGGGCCAAGAGUACUGAGGGAGGCAGCAGUGGGGAAUAUUGGACAGUGGGCGCAAGCAUGAUCCAGCCAUGCGGCGUGUGUGAAGAAGGCCUUCGGGUUGUAAAGCACUUUUGUCCGGAAAGAAAUCCCUGGAGCUAAUACCUUCGGGGGAUGACGGUACCGGAAGAAUAAGCACCGGCUAACUUCGUG